RNAcentral lists this ribosomal RNA (376 nucleotides) under uncultured organism. RNAcentral describes it as "partial 16S ribosomal RNA". It matches the Rfam family "Bacterial small subunit ribosomal RNA", at positions 527 to 896 of the family's 1533-position model. The record is from RNAcentral.
GUAGGGUGCAAGCGUUAUCCGGAAUCAUUGGGCGUAAAGAGCUCGUAGGCGGUUCAGCAAGUCGGCUGUGAAAUCCCGAGGCUUAACCUCGGAACUGCAGUCGGUACUGCUGUGACUAGAGUCCGGUAGAGGAGAAUGGAAUUCCCGGUGUAGCGGUGAAAUGCGCAGAUAUCGGGAGGAACACCAGUAGCGAAGGCGGUUCUCUGGGCCGGUACUGACGCUGAGGAGCGAAAGCGUGGGUAGCAAACAGGAUUAGAUACCCUGGUAGUCCACGCCGUAAACGUUGGACACUAGGUGUGGCGUUCCGACCAACGGGUGCCCGUGCCGAAGCUAACGCAUUAAGUGUCCCCGCCUGGGGAGUACGGCCGCAAGGCUA